RNAcentral lists this transfer RNA (72 nucleotides) under Simias concolor (Simakobou). RNAcentral's name for it is "tRNA-Gln". It matches the Rfam family "tRNA". From Rfam's summary of the family: Transfer RNA (tRNA) molecules are approximately 80 nucleotides in length. Their secondary structure includes four short double-helical elements and three loops (D, anti-codon, and T loops). Lineage: Eukaryota; Metazoa; Chordata; Mammalia; Primates; Cercopithecidae. The record is from RNAcentral.
UAGAGUUGGGUGUAAUAGGUAGCACGGAGAAAUUUGAAUUCUCAAGAGUAGGUUCAAUACCUAUAAUUCUAG